This 167-nucleotide small RNA is filed under the name Amphibacillus xylanus. RNAcentral's name for it is "Magnesium sequence". It matches the Rfam family "M-box riboswitch aptamer (ykoK leader)". Rfam says of the family: M-box riboswitch, also know as ykoK leader is described as a metaloregulatory RNA that sense divalent metals and function as a genetic control element of genes related to divalent metal transport in bacteria. It was first reported upstream of the B.subtilis ykoK gene and genes with related functions in other bacteria. The record is from RNAcentral. Lineage: Bacteria; Bacillati; Bacillota; Bacilli; Caryophanales; Bacillaceae. RNAcentral also lists the same sequence under 1 other name.
AAGAACCUUCGUUAGGCCAGGCUCCUGUGUGGAGAUACGCUGCUGCCCAAAAAUGUCCAAAGACGCCAAUGGGUCAACAGAAACAAUCGAAUUAAGGUUGUUUUUAACGUAGCUGAAAUUAAUUUUCUAUGCCACACAGUGCUAAAGCUCUACGAUUGAGGGUUAUA